Molecule: ribosomal RNA, 286 nt
Filed under: Cronobacter malonaticus
Lineage: Bacteria; Pseudomonadati; Pseudomonadota; Gammaproteobacteria; Enterobacterales; Enterobacteriaceae
Description: partial 16S ribosomal RNA
Rfam family: Bacterial small subunit ribosomal RNA
Source: RNAcentral
CCCGCAACGAGCGCAACCCUUAUCCUUUGUUGCCAGCGGUUCGGCCGGGAACUCAAAGGAGACUGCCGGUGAUAAACCGGAGGAGGGUGGGGAUGACGUCAAGUCAUCAUGGCCCUUACGACCAGGGCUACACACGUGCUACAAUGGCGCAUACAAAGAGAAGCGACCUCGCGAGAGCAAGCGGACCUCAUAAAGUGCGUCGUAGUCCGGAUUGGAGUCUGCAACUCGACUCCAUGAAGUCGGAAUCGCUAGUAAUCGUGGAUCAGAAUGCCACGGUGAAUACGUU